RNAcentral lists this transfer RNA (71 nucleotides) under Shigella flexneri. RNAcentral describes it as "tRNA-Met". It matches the Rfam family "tRNA". Rfam says of the family: Transfer RNA (tRNA) molecules are approximately 80 nucleotides in length. Their secondary structure includes four short double-helical elements and three loops (D, anti-codon, and T loops). The record is from RNAcentral. Lineage: Bacteria; Pseudomonadati; Pseudomonadota; Gammaproteobacteria; Enterobacterales; Enterobacteriaceae. RNAcentral also lists the same sequence under 6 other names.
GCUACGUAGCUCAGUUGGUUAGAGCACAUCACUCAUAAUGAUGGGGUCACAGGUUCGAAUCCCGUCGUAGC